GGAGCGGCGGACGGGUUAGUAACGCGUGGGAACGUACCCAGAUCUAAGGAAUAGCCUCGGGAAACUGAGAGUAAUACCUUAUACGCCCUUAGGGGGAAAGAUUUAUCGGAUUUGGAUCGGCCCGCGUUAAAUUAAAUAGUUGGGGGGGUAAUGGCCUACCAAGUCUACGAUCUAUAGCUGGUUUUAAAGGAUGAUCAGCAACACUGGGACUGAGACACGGCCCAAACUCCUACGGGAGGCAGCAGUGGGGAAUCUUGGACAAUGGGCGCAAGCCUGAUCCAGCCAUGCCGCGUGAGUGAUGAAGGCCUUAGGGUCGUAAAGCUCUUUCGCCUGUGAAGAUAAUGACGGUAGCAGGUAAAGAAACCCCGGCUAACUCCGUGCCAGCAGCCGCGGUAAUACGGAGGGGGUUAGCGUUGUUCGGAAUUACUGGGCGUAAAGCGCGCGUAGGCGGGCUAUUAAGUUAGGGGUGAAAUCCCAGGGCUCAACCCUGGAACUGCCUCUAAUACUGGUAGCCUAGAGUUCGAGAGAGGUGAGUGGAAUUCCGAGUGUAGAGGUGAAAUUCGUAGAUAUUCGGAGGAACACCAGUGGCGAAGGCGGCUCACUGGCUCGAUACUGACGCUGAGGUGCGAAAGUGUGGGGAGCAAACAGGA
RNAcentral lists this ribosomal RNA (650 nucleotides) under Celeribacter sp. OFEM44. RNAcentral describes it as "bacterial SSU rRNA". It matches the Rfam family "Bacterial small subunit ribosomal RNA", at positions 92 to 777 of the family's 1533-position model. The record is from RNAcentral. Lineage: Bacteria; Pseudomonadati; Pseudomonadota; Alphaproteobacteria; Rhodobacterales; Roseobacteraceae.